RNAcentral lists this ribosomal RNA (496 nucleotides) under uncultured bacterium. RNAcentral's name for it is "partial 16S ribosomal RNA". It matches the Rfam family "Bacterial small subunit ribosomal RNA", at positions 28 to 506 of the family's 1533-position model. The record is from RNAcentral.
GAUGAACGCUGGCGGCGUGCCUAAUACAUGCAAGUCGAGCGAACGGACGAGAAGCUUGCUUCUCUGAUGUUAGCGGCGGACGGGUGAGUAACACGUGGAUAACCUACCUAUAAGACUGGGAUAACUUCGGGAAACCGGAGCUAAUACCGGAUAAUAUUUUGAACCGCAUGGUUCAAAAGUGAAAGACGGUCUUGCUGUCACUUAUAGAUGGAUCCGCGCUGCAUUAGCUAGUUGGUAAGGUAACGGCUUACCAAGGGAACGAUGCAUAGCCGACCUGAGAGGGUGAUCGGCCACACUGGAACUGAGACACGGUCCAGACUCCUACGGGAGGCAGCAGGAGGAAAUCUGCCGCAAUGGGCGAAAGCCUGACGAGGCAACGCCGCGUGAGGGAUGAAGGUCUUCGGUUCGUAAAACUCUGUUAUUAGGGAAGAACAUAUGUGUAAGUAACUGUGCACAUCUGGACGUUACCAAAGCAGAAAGCCCGGGCAAACUCCGG